UACGGAGGGGGCUAGCGUUGUUCGGAAUUACUGGGCGUAAAGCGCGCGCAGGCGGCUAUCCAAGUCAGUGGUGAAAGCCCGGAGCUCAACUCCGGAACUGCCAUUGAAACUGUUUAGCUUGAGGAUGAGAGAGGUGAGUGGAAUUCCCAGUGUAGAGGUGAAAUUCGUAGAUAUUGGGAGGAACACCGGUGGCGAAGGCGACCGCCUGGACGAAGAUUGACGCUGAGGCGCGAGAGCGUGGGGAGCAAACAGG
RNAcentral lists this ribosomal RNA (253 nucleotides) under uncultured bacterium. RNAcentral's name for it is "partial 16S ribosomal RNA". It matches the Rfam family "Bacterial small subunit ribosomal RNA", at positions 524 to 776 of the family's 1533-position model. The record is from RNAcentral.